The sequence is a transfer RNA, 87 nucleotides long. It matches the Rfam family "tRNA". From Rfam's summary of the family: Transfer RNA (tRNA) molecules are approximately 80 nucleotides in length. The record is from Rfam.
GGCCGCGUGGCCUAAUGGCUAAGGCGCUAGAUUUCGGUUUCCAUUUCCAAUCUCUAGAGAUUCCAGGUUCGACUCCUGGCGUGGUCG